UACGGAAGGCAGCAGUGGGGAAUAUUGCACAAUGGGCGAAAGCCUGAUGCAGCUAUGCCGCGUGUAUGAAGAAGGCCUUAGGGUUGUAAAGUACUUUCAUCGGGGAGGAAAAAACAAAACUAAUAAUUUUAUUUCUUGACGUUACCCGAAAAAGAAGCACCGGCUAACUCCGUGCCAGCAGCCGCGGUAAUACGGAGGGUGCUAGCGUUAAUCAGAAUUACUGGGCGUAAAGAGCACGUAGGUGGUUUUUUUAAGUCAGAUGUGAAUCCCUGGGCUUAACCUAGGAACUGCAUUUUGAAACUGAAAUACUAGAGUAUCGUAGAGGGAGGUAGAAUUCUAGGUGUAGCGGUGAAAUGCGUAGAUAUCUGGAGGAAUACCUGUGGCGAAAGCGACCUCCUAAACGAAUACUGACACUGAGGUGCGAAAGCGUGGGGAGCAAACAGGGAUUAGAUACC
RNAcentral lists this ribosomal RNA (455 nucleotides) under uncultured bacterium. RNAcentral describes it as "bacterial SSU rRNA". It matches the Rfam family "Bacterial small subunit ribosomal RNA", at positions 340 to 786 of the family's 1533-position model. The record is from RNAcentral.